RNAcentral lists this ribosomal RNA (100 nucleotides) under uncultured bacterium. Its description in RNAcentral is "partial 16S ribosomal RNA". It matches the Rfam family "Bacterial small subunit ribosomal RNA", at positions 392 to 508 of the family's 1533-position model. The record is from RNAcentral.
CAACGCCGCGUGGAGGACGACGGCCUUCGGGUUGUAAACUCCUUUUUGUCGGGACGAGGAAGGACGGUACCGACAGAAUAAGCUUCGGCUAACUACGUGC